This 1297-nucleotide long non-coding RNA is filed under the name Numida meleagris (helmeted guineafowl). RNAcentral describes it as "lncRNA (ENSNMEG00000009003.1)". Lineage: Eukaryota; Metazoa; Chordata; Aves; Galliformes; Numididae. The record is from RNAcentral.
AUGUGCUCUGAGCUGAUUUGCCUCUUGAGCAAUCAGAUGCACUUCCAAAGAGUUACAUGGAGCCAUCUGGUUGCCAUCUGCAUCUUAUCAAACAGUUUGGGACAUUUCCAGGAAAGUUGGAGACAAACUGAUGGGUCACCUCUGGGAAAAGCAGAGAUGAGUUCUGCUCUGAAAAAAAUCAUAUCUGAGAAAUCCCUGCACCUGUGCUGGAAGUCUGAGAUCUCAGCUAAUGAAGUAGGAGCUAUUUAUAACUCUUCAAAUCUCCAACAGUUUUUGAUGAAAAACAGUCAGUCCUGAAAGCACAAACAGUUUCUCAGACUGGAACUUCAGACCAGCUCACAAAAGGCAAGCAGGCCUUUCUUGUCUUCUCCUCACGUCAAAUGUUAUCUGCCAAGAGAUAGUUUCAUUUUUUCACUUCAAAAAAGAAGGAAUCUGAGCCAUAAUGUCAAUUGAAAACUUAGUAAUAAUUGCAUUGAGUUACUCCUGAUGGGGUUUCUGUGGCCUAAUGCUUGGCUGGUGCACAGGCUGUUGGCCUACACUGGGAAGGUGUUUGGUGAAGUCAUACAGCUUCCACUGCAUUCAGUCACCACAGCUCAGUUCAUCACAGAAAGCUCUUUGAAAUGCAGCAGUUUGACUAGAUCCUGAGUCCUGCACUUAUAUGCUUCAGUCAGUUUUCCUCCCAUUUGAAGGAUCUGUAAGAAGUGGCAGGUUUAGAGGAGAUCUGGGCUCAAUAGUCCUAAUGUGUGAUGGUGUGGCCCACAUUCUCUGUCAAAGAGCAGACUGUCAUGGUUGGGAAGUUCCCUAUGUGGGCAUACUCAUCUCUUUUUCUUUGUCAGCCAUCAAUAAUUUCAGUUACAUAAAUUGAUUAAAUGACUCAACAAACAAAAAUGCAAUCUUCCAGCUGUGGACUGAAGGCAUUUGACUGAUGGUGGGGAACAAGUUAGAUUGUUGCUAUCAGAAUCCCCUAAAGAGUGUAGGUCCUAGCAGACCAGGCCAGAUCAGCUUUCAGACAUGCUAUGGGAGAAAGAGUGGAGAGAGAAGGGAAGCAGUGAGGAAGAAUUAGCAGCCAGAAUGAGCCACUCUCUUGGGUAGUUAUCAGAAAGUCAGUAGGAAUCUACUGUGUCUGAAAGGAAGAUUCCUGGUAACUAUAUCUUGUUUUAAAAAGUGGAAGAUUGGAUCUCUCAUUCUCUCUCCCAAAUAGGAAUAGAAUAUGGGAUAAUUCCCUGUGCUUCUAGUUGUUACAUUUUGUUUGCAAUUUUCCUUAAAUGAAAUUGAAAACAAAAAAAAGAGAUCUUUG